RNAcentral lists this transfer RNA (85 nucleotides) under Felis catus (domestic cat). It matches the Rfam family "tRNA". From Rfam's summary of the family: Transfer RNA (tRNA) molecules are approximately 80 nucleotides in length. Lineage: Eukaryota; Metazoa; Chordata; Mammalia; Carnivora; Felidae. The record is from Rfam by way of RNAcentral.
GCCUGGGUGGCUCAGUCGGUUAAGCGUCUGACUUCGGCUCAGGUCAUGAUCUCACGGUUUGUGGGUUCGAGCCCCGCAUUGGGCU